AUCCGUCUGGCAUCUGUUAUUCAUAAUGGAAUCCCAAGUGUUCUUCGUGGCCUUUACUCCUGCAAAAAUAAGUUGAGGACUUAAUUAGUUUCAAGCUUUAAGUUUUUGGUAAAACUGUUCAGAAUAGCUUGAACUGUGUGGUGUGCAUACAGCAGAAAAAGAAAUAAUGAAAAGGUUUUAUUCUAAGGGGGUUUUGUAAUUUUGAGUAGAAAACAAGGGACAAGAAAUAAAAAUUCACGUUCUUAUUUAAUCCCUACAUUUUAAGUCUUUAUUUGAAUGGGGAGGUUGGAUGUCUUAAUUUAUUUUACUUUUUUAUAAAACAUAAAAUACUCUGUGAAACACCUUAUCUACUCAUGUAGCAAAGCCCUGGUGAAGUUUAAAUUUUCCUUAUGGGCUCCCAUUCCAUUUCUUUAUGUGUAUUUAAAGAAUAAAGAACAGCUGAUCCCUGGGGUUACGUGUGAAACAUACUGUUCUAUAUGGGGAAAAAUUUGUUUUUCCAAACAGCCAAUAGCAGAAAUGAGAUGCCAGAUGAUUUAUUUCCAGCUAUAUGCCAGGGAGCCUGUCUCCAUUAAUUACUUCCUGCCAUGUCCCAUUGAAGUGGAAGGAUGGAGGAGCAUGAUUCAAGCAGCUUCAAUUACUGUGCACUGCUAAUUUAUGAGGAUUUCUGAGUUCUGCUUUCAUGUCGCCAACAUUUUGCAUAAAUUCUGCUUUUCUCUUAUGUCAUUUCCUCUUCCAGCUUCCAGUUUUAGCCCGGAUAGGUUGGCAGCCAUUGCUUUGGAUUUUGUGGGUGGCUCGAGGAGAAAGGAGUAAGCAAAAAUAAUUAUUCAUGCUCUGCUUUGCUGCAGUAACUUCUGAAAAGCAAGAAUGUUUCAGAGAGAAAAUUGGACGUGGGGUCCCAGCACAGCUCCCGUCCCUCGGGGAUUUGUGGGAGCAGCAGUUUGGAUCUGAUAAUGUGGAAUUAUCGCUGCUCCCUGUGUUUCAGCACGAGGUACAAGGGCAGUGUUGACUUCACUCUUCCAGGUGUGGUGGUUUUCCAUAUCUGAGGAACCUCUUGGAGUUAAUAAACAUUUGAAUUUGAUCUUACUUGCGGCA
RNAcentral lists this long non-coding RNA (1092 nucleotides) under Cyanistes caeruleus (blue tit). RNAcentral describes it as "lncRNA (ENSCCEG00000002115.1)". Lineage: Eukaryota; Metazoa; Chordata; Aves; Passeriformes; Paridae. The record is from RNAcentral.